CUUUGACAUGUGUGAAAACAUGAAAUGACCCUUGGCUCUUAUUGUUCUUGCUGGUGUGGUAUGUUCACGGCUGAAAAGGUGGUCAGAAGGAGAAAGGAGGAAGUGAGAAGAAAGAAACAGGGAAAUGCAGGCUGAGGAAUUACCAAGGAGGCAGGAGGUGGAGCAAAACACACCAAGCCUGAUGCCAAUCAUUGACAAUAUUAUGACCCUGCAUGUGAUGGAUCAGCUGACACCAUCCAGAUUGGUAAACUGGUUCGUCUGAUCUUGUGCCCUCCACCCAGGAACUGACUCAGCGCAAGAAGACAGCUUCGACUCCUUAUGAUUUCAUCCCUAACCAAUCAGCACUCCUGGCUCACUGGCUUCCCCCAAC
RNAcentral lists this long non-coding RNA (370 nucleotides) under Pan troglodytes (chimpanzee). RNAcentral's name for it is "long non-coding RNA NONPTRT003486". The record is from RNAcentral. Lineage: Eukaryota; Metazoa; Chordata; Mammalia; Primates; Hominidae.